RNAcentral lists this ribosomal RNA (164 nucleotides) under Lilium leichtlinii subsp. maximowiczii. RNAcentral's name for it is "Lilium leichtlinii var. maximowiczii 5.8S ribosomal RNA". It matches the Rfam family "5.8S ribosomal RNA". Rfam says of the family: 5.8S ribosomal RNA (5.8S rRNA) is a component of the large subunit of the eukaryotic ribosome. It is transcribed by RNA polymerase I as part of the 45S precursor that also contains 18S and 28S rRNA. Lineage: Eukaryota; Viridiplantae; Streptophyta; Magnoliopsida; Liliales; Liliaceae. The record is from RNAcentral.
UAUACGACUCUCGGCAACGGAUAUCUCGGCUCUCGCAUCGAUGAAGAACGUAGUGAAAUGUGAUACUUGGUGUGAAUUGCAGAAUCCCAUGAACCAUCGAGUCUUUGAACGCAAGUUGCGCCCGAGGCCAUUCGGUUGAGGGCACGCCUGCCUGGGCGUCACGC